This 156-nucleotide transfer RNA is filed under the name Anopheles culicifacies. RNAcentral describes it as "tRNA tRNA-Tyr". It matches the Rfam family "tRNA". From Rfam's summary of the family: Transfer RNA (tRNA) molecules are approximately 80 nucleotides in length. Their secondary structure includes four short double-helical elements and three loops (D, anti-codon, and T loops). Lineage: Eukaryota; Metazoa; Arthropoda; Insecta; Diptera; Culicidae. The record is from RNAcentral.
CCUUCGAUAGCUCAGUUGGUAGAGCGGUGGACUGUAGAAAGUUAAGGAGGGGGGAUCAUAUAUGUGAGUUGUUGUCCAAAAUGCGACCAACUUACAGAGACCUCUCCAACCCGUAUAGAAAUCCAUAGGUCACUGGUUCAAAUCCGGUUCGAAGGA